AGCGAACGCUGGCGGCAUGCCUAACACAUGCAAGUCGAACGAACCUUUCGGGGUUAGUGUCGGACGGGUGAGUAACACGUGGGAACGUGCCUUUAGGUUCGGAAUAACUCAGGGAAACUUGUGCUAAUACCGAAUGUGCCCUUCGGGGGGAAGAUUAAUCGCCUUUAGAGCGGCCCGCGUCUGAUUAGCUAGUUGGUUGAGGUAAUGGCUCACCAAGGCGACGAUCAGUAGCUGGUCUGAGAGGAUGAUCAGCCACAUUGGGACUGAGACACGGCCCAAACUCCUACGGGAGGCAGCAGUGGGGAAUCUUGCGCAAUGGGCGAAAGCCUGACGCAGCCAUGCCGCGUGAAUGAUGAAGGUCUUAGGAUUGUAAAAUUCUUUCACCGGGGACGAUAAUGACGGUACCCGGAGAAGAAGCCCCGGCUAACUUCGUG
Molecule: ribosomal RNA, 434 nt
Filed under: uncultured bacterium
Lineage: Bacteria
Description: partial 16S ribosomal RNA
Rfam family: Bacterial small subunit ribosomal RNA
Source: RNAcentral